RNAcentral lists this long non-coding RNA (554 nucleotides) under Sarcophilus harrisii (Tasmanian devil). RNAcentral describes it as "lncRNA (ENSSHAG00000021078.1)". Lineage: Eukaryota; Metazoa; Chordata; Mammalia; Dasyuromorphia; Dasyuridae. The record is from RNAcentral.
CCUAGUAUUUAUGCAUUCGGUGUUUGCCUCUGCCGUGAACCUAUACACAAUACGCGCUGACUACACUACCAGCUUUGUUCCCUUGAUGAGGCAACUGGAAACCAGAGAGACCUCUUUUGGUGCUGGCCUUUAAAAGAAUAUUUACAUCUUAAAGACGGAACUGCAGACCUGCCUAGGUUGUAGCUGAGUUUGGUUUGAGAUUUGGGGGCCUAUAGUUUAGACUUCUAGGAAACUUUGGCCCUCAAGAUGUCUGCUGCCCUGGGAAAGGUGAUCUGGAGGUGGUGGUCCCUUCCUUUCGAUGCUCAAAUGGAAGUCGUCAGCUGAAACCCAACGCCGUGCUGGAGUAGGCAGCGUGAACAUAAACCCUCCAAAGCAAGCACAGCCUCAUCAUGGUGCCCUUGCUUUCACUCGGCCAGCUUCGCCAUGAGAGUCCCUCGUUUUGGUAGGAAAAUAGGUCGCACCAAUUACAAUAGUGGAACCUAAAAUAAUUGCAUAUUCUCUUAGAGCUCUGCAGCUCUACGGUAAUGACGUUAUGAGCUAUUGUGAAUUGAAUA